RNAcentral lists this ribosomal RNA (407 nucleotides) under uncultured Lachnospiraceae bacterium. Its description in RNAcentral is "bacterial SSU rRNA". It matches the Rfam family "Bacterial small subunit ribosomal RNA", at positions 355 to 776 of the family's 1533-position model. Lineage: Bacteria; Bacillati; Bacillota; Clostridia; Lachnospirales; Lachnospiraceae. The record is from RNAcentral.
UGGGGAAUAUUGCACAAUGGGGGAAACCCUGAUGCAGCGACGCCGCGUGAGCGAAGAAGUAUUUCGGUAUGUAAAGCUCUAUCAGCAGGGAAGAAGAAAGUGACGGUACCUGACUAAGAAGCUCCGGCUAAAUACGUGCCAGCAGCCGCGGUAAUACGUAUGGAGCAAGCGUUAUCCGGAUUUACUGGGUGUAAAGGGAGCGUAGGCGGUGCUAUAAGUCUGAUGUGAAAGCCCGGGGCUCAACCGCGGGACUGCAUUGGAAACUGUAGGACUGGAGUGUCGGAGGGGUAAGUGGAAUUCCUAGUGUAGCGGUGAAAUGCGUAGAUAUUAGGAGGAACACCGGUGGCGAAGGCGGCUUACUGGACGACAACUGACGCUGAGGCUCGAAAGCGUGGGGAGCAAACAGG